GACGAACGCUGGCGGCGUGCUUAACACAUGCAAGUCGAACGGAAAGGCCCUGCUUUUGUGGGGUGCUCGAGUGGCGAACGGGUGAGUAACACGUGAGUAACCUGCCCUUGACUUUGGGAUAACUUCAGGAAACUGGGGCUAAUACCGGAUAGGAGCUCCUGCUGCACGGUGGGGGUGGGAAAGUUUCGGCGGUUGGGGCUGGACUCGCGGCUUAUCAGCUUGUUGGUGGGGUAGUGGCUUACCAAGGCUUUGACGGGUAGCCGGCCUGAGAGGGUGACCGGCCACCUUGGGACUGAGAUACGGCCCAGACUCCUACGGGAGGCAGCAGUGGGGAAUAUUGCACAAUGGGCGGAAGCCUGAUGCAGCAACGCCGCGUGCGGGAUGACGGCCUUCGGGUUGUAAACCGCUUUCGCCUGUGACGAAGCGUGAGUGACGGUAAUGGGUAAAGAAGCACCGGCUAACUACGUG
This 468-nucleotide ribosomal RNA is filed under the name uncultured bacterium. RNAcentral describes it as "partial 16S ribosomal RNA". It matches the Rfam family "Bacterial small subunit ribosomal RNA", at positions 28 to 507 of the family's 1533-position model. The record is from RNAcentral.